This 293-nucleotide ribosomal RNA is filed under the name uncultured bacterium. RNAcentral describes it as "partial 16S ribosomal RNA". It matches the Rfam family "Archaeal small subunit ribosomal RNA", at positions 455 to 747 of the family's 1478-position model. The record is from RNAcentral.
GUGCCAGCCGCCGCGGUAAUACCGGCAGCACGAGUGAUGGCCGAUUUUAUUGGGCCUAAAGCGUCCGUAGCUUGCUGUGUAAGUCCAUUGGGAAAUCCACGCGCUCAACGCGUGGGCGUCCGGUGGAAACUGCACGGCUUGGGGCCGAGAGACUCGACGGGUACGUCCGGGGUAGGAGUGAAAUCCUAUAAUCCUGGACGGACCACCAAUGGGGAAACCACGUCGAGAGACCGGACCCGACAGUGAGGGACGAAAGCCAGGGUCUCGAACCGGAUUAGAAACCCGAGUAGUCC